This 253-nucleotide ribosomal RNA is filed under the name uncultured bacterium. Its description in RNAcentral is "partial 16S ribosomal RNA". It matches the Rfam family "Bacterial small subunit ribosomal RNA", at positions 524 to 776 of the family's 1533-position model. The record is from RNAcentral.
UACGAAGGGAGCUAGCGUUGUUCGGAAUCACUGGGCGUAAAGCGCACGUAGGCGGAUGUGUCAGUCAGGGGUGAAAUCCUGGAGCUCAACUCCAGAACUGCCUUUGAUACUGAAGAUCUUGAGUUCGGGAGAGGUGAGUGGAACUGCGAGUGUAGAGGUGAAAUUCGUAGAUAUUCGCAAGAACACCAGUGGCGAAGGCAGCCCCCUGGGUCAAGAUUGACGCUCAUGCACGAAAGCGUGGGGAGCAAACAGG